UACGAAGGGUGCAAGCGUUACUCGGAAUUACUGGGCGUAAAGCGUGCGUAGGUGGUUCGUUAAGUCUGCCGUGAAAGCCCCGGGCUCAACCUGGGAAUGGCGGUGGAUACUGGCGGACUAGAGUGCGGUAGAGGGUGGUGGAAUUCCCGGUGUAGCAGUGAAAUGCGUAGAUAUCGUGAGGAACACCAGAGGCGAAGGCGGCUACCUGGACAAUUACUGACGCUCAGGCACGAAAGCGUGGGGAGCAAAAGGG
Molecule: ribosomal RNA, 253 nt
Filed under: uncultured bacterium
Lineage: Bacteria
Description: partial 16S ribosomal RNA
Rfam family: Bacterial small subunit ribosomal RNA
Source: RNAcentral